This 253-nucleotide ribosomal RNA is filed under the name uncultured bacterium. RNAcentral describes it as "partial 16S ribosomal RNA". It matches the Rfam family "Bacterial small subunit ribosomal RNA", at positions 524 to 776 of the family's 1533-position model. The record is from RNAcentral.
UACGUAGGUGACCAGCGUUGUCCGGAUUUACUGGGCGUAAAGAGCGCGCAGGCGGUCGUUCAAGUCGAGUGUGAAAGCCCCCGGCUCAACUGGGGAGGGUCACUCGAUACUGAUCGACUUGAAGGCAGGAGAGGGAAGCGGAUUUCCCGGUGUAGUGGUGAAAUGCGUAGAUAUCGGGAGGAACACCAGUGGCGAAGGCGGCUUCCUGGCCUGUUCUUGACGCUGAGGCGCGAAAGCUAGGGGAGCAAACGGA